RNAcentral lists this long non-coding RNA (781 nucleotides) under Cricetulus griseus (Chinese hamster). RNAcentral's name for it is "lncRNA (ENSCGRG00015029991.1)". Lineage: Eukaryota; Metazoa; Chordata; Mammalia; Rodentia; Cricetidae. The record is from RNAcentral.
GCUAUCUGCAGCGGAAGGAGAGCGCGCGAGCAAGGCGCUGUCCAAUCAGCUCUCGAAGGUAGGGCGGGACCUUUCGCGCCUCCGCCCCGGGGUUGGCGGACUGGAGAAGGAGCGAAGAUGGCGGAGUGAGGCGUGCCCCGGGCAGCCGGCCUCCGGGCCCCGGGCGGGCCUCGCUCGAGAGGCGAGGUGCUUCUGCUGGACUUAGUGAGUCCUCCACGAUUGCACUGGCGCGGGCUGCGCCUGGAAGCCGCUGUGUCCAUCACCCGUUUAUUUUUCGAAGAAUAUCUCCGUAUCGUUUUUAACAUCGUUUUUAACAGUGACCUAUUAGCGAAGGCGUCAUCAGUCAAGGUAACAAUGAGGCCUGUUGCAGCUCUGGGUGUUUGGUGUCCCCAGCGCAUUGACCUUGAGAUUGGCGGUAACAGGCACCCCCUGGUAUUUUCAUACGAGAAUGUGUAUCGCCGAUAGGCGCGUGUAACCUUUAUCUCAUACUCGCACCCGCCAAACUUUUAUGACCAUAGUAAGCAGGGUUGUUCUCCCUGAUAAUGUCCUUAGGCGCAUUAAUUUCGGCUGACAGGUCUCAGUGGAAUUCACAGUUGUUGGUUUCUUGCCCAGAAUUAAGGGAAACGAUAUACGAUGCUUUUUAAAAAAAUUUUUUUUCUAAUUUAUUUUUAAGAACUGUAGUUUUGGAAAUAGUGUUGGAAUAUCAUUUGUGUUGCUGGUGUGAAUACAAAGUAAUUAGUACUGUCAGAUAUUUAUAUGCGGUUCUUAUUUAAUUUUAUGA